CCUUCGGGAGGCAGCAGUGGGGAAUAUUGCACAAUGGGCGCAAGCCUGAUGCAGCCAUGCCGCGUGUAUGAAGAAGGCCUUCGGGUUGUAAAGUACUUUCAGUCGUGAGGAAGGUGUUAAGGUUAAUAACCUUAGCAAUUGACGUUAGCGACAGAAGAAGCACCGGCCAACUCCGUGCCAGCAGCCGCGGUAAUACGGAGGUUGCGAGCGUUAAUCGGAAUUACUGGGCGUAAAGGGCACGCAGGCGGUUAAAUAAGUUGGAAGUGAAAUCCACGGGCUUAACAUAGGAAUGACAGUCAAGACAUGUUAGCUAGAGUCUUGUAGAGUGAGGUAGAAUUCCAUGUGUAGCGGUGAAAUGCGUAGGGAUGUGAAGGAAUACCGGUGGCGAAGGCGGCCCCCUGGACAAAGACUGACGCUCAUGUGCGAGAGCGUGAGAAGCAAACAGGAUUAGAUACCCCAGUAGUC
Molecule: ribosomal RNA, 465 nt
Filed under: uncultured Arsenophonus sp.
Lineage: Bacteria; Pseudomonadati; Pseudomonadota; Gammaproteobacteria; Enterobacterales; Morganellaceae
Description: bacterial SSU rRNA
Rfam family: Bacterial small subunit ribosomal RNA
Source: RNAcentral